GACGAACGCUGGCGGCGUGCUUAACACAUGCAAGUCGAACGGAAAGGCCCUGCUUUUGUGGGGUGCUCGAGCGGCGAACGGGUGAGUAACACGUGAGUAACCUGCCCUUGACUUUGGGAUAACUUCAGGAAACUGGGGCUAAUACCGGAUAGGAGCUCCUGCUGCAUGGUGGGGGUUGGAAAGUUUCGGCGGUUGGGGAUGGACUCGCGGCUUAUCAGCUUGUUGGUGGGGUAGUGGCUUACCAAGGCUUUGACGGGUAGCCGGCCUGAGAGGGUGACCGGCCACAUUGGGACUGAGAUACGGCCCAGACUCAUACGGGAGGCAGCAGUGGGGAAUAUUGCACAAUGGGCGGAAGCCUGAUGCAGCAACGCCGCGUGCGGGAUGACGGCCUUCGGGUUGUAAACCGCUUUCGCCUGUGACGAAGCGUGAGUGACGGUAAUGGGUAAAGAAGCACCGGCUAACUACGUG
This 468-nucleotide ribosomal RNA is filed under the name uncultured bacterium. Its description in RNAcentral is "partial 16S ribosomal RNA". It matches the Rfam family "Bacterial small subunit ribosomal RNA", at positions 28 to 507 of the family's 1533-position model. The record is from RNAcentral.